Molecule: long non-coding RNA, 1178 nt
Filed under: Vulpes vulpes (red fox)
Lineage: Eukaryota; Metazoa; Chordata; Mammalia; Carnivora; Canidae
Description: lncRNA (ENSVVUG00000003565.1)
Source: RNAcentral
CCCCUGCUCACAUGCAUUCUCUCUCAAAUAAAUUAAUUAAUUUAAAAAUUUAAAAACUCAUGAGGAUAGUACCCAAAUGACUGGACUUUGAGAAACAUUCAAAUAGUGAUUGAGUUUUUGAAUUAAACAAACCUGCCACCAGUGAGUUACCUAACUAUGUGGGUAACUUCAUCUGGAAAAUGAAUUAUUGUUUAGGAUAAACGAGUUAACACAUGUGCAGUAGUGCUCAGUAGGCGUGCUUCCCAUCCUCCUCCCCUGGAAAGGUACCUGGUAGUCCAGUGUCACAGAGGCCUGCUGCAAUCGGAGGUAGGAAGCCCGGAUUCCUGACCCAGCUGAGCCACUGACUCACUGACCUGACUCCACCCUCAGGGCCUCAGUUUUCUCAUCCAGAAAAUGACAGGGUGAGAUGUCAUCCUCUCCAGAGCCUCCCAAUCCUACCAACCAUCCUCUGAUUAAAGGAUCCAGCCUCGCCUUGUUUGAUUAUUGCAUCAGAGAAUGACAGAACUGCAGCUGGAAAGGACUCUAAAUAUGUCUUCCUGGCCUGUCCCCCACAAAGCCCAGAGAAGUUCUUAACCUCUUGGCCACCUGCUUGGCCACAUGGGGGAGGGGCAAGGUCUGGAGGUCCAGUGGGAAAAUGAGAAUGCUUCCUCUUCGCUUUGAUAAAUGAUAUAGGCAUUGGGUGGUUUAGACACCACUCAUGCCUUAACAAAUACAUCGCAAUUCCACUGAGAGAUACAAAUCCCACUUCAGCUUGAGAAAAAUCAAUGCAGUUGGUUGGGAACAGGGUGUUACCUGGAUUGAUGGAUUGCUUGGUGUUACUAACUAUAUCUACCUUUGAAAGGUUGCACAUGGUGAGUACCGAGUCCGGCAAGUACUCCCCACAUGCCCCACAUGUGGCAGAAGUGAGAGAGGUGAGGCAUUGUCAAGUUGCACCUGAGAGCACCUAUCACUGGUAAGCUCCAAAGGACCUGAAGUGGGUACACAGAGAUGUUUGUUCUACUCUACAGAUAUACGAACAUCCCCUCCUCCCCACCACCUAUGGGUCUUCUCUUAACCCCCUGCAGUGGACAGCUUUCAUUCUUGCCUGCUUAGCACCUGUUCCCACUUUUCUGGUAGCAGCAUCCUUUUUUGGGGAUUGGGAAGCUUCCCCCACUUUCAGUCCUUGUGAUUGGGUGAAG